Long non-coding RNA from Octopus sinensis (East Asian common octopus), 3789 nucleotides. RefSeq lists it as uncharacterized. NCBI's taxonomy places the organism in Eukaryota, Metazoa, Mollusca, Cephalopoda, Octopoda, Octopodidae. The transcript has 2 exons. The record is from RefSeq and is a predicted model, not a curated record.
AUUGAUUUCUAUGACACUGUUCCUUUUGAACCGGUGCCAAUCUGUUUCUAGAUCCUUCAUAUCAUGCAGUUCAUUUUGCCACUGCUAUUUUCUGCCUCUCUCUCUUUUUUCCUUUCUCUUUCAUUUUUAGAAAUACUAUUCUUUAUCUGUUCUUUCAUGCUCUCUCUUUCUUGCUUUCUUUCUCUUGCUGCCAUUUAGCUUAUUUUAGCUGUGCAUGAAUAAAUUGUUUAAUGAAAAUGCUAUCACAAUCCAAACUUGUACUUAAUUUAAUCUUGAACUGCACAGUAUAAUCCCUGUUCAUUAACAUAUACUUCUCACAGUCAAACUUUAGUUUAUUACACUGAAAAGCUCAAAAAAUCAACAUAUGUACCAUAAUUAUAUAUUUAUAUACAGAUCCACUAAUAACAUAUCAGUUUGAUACUUUAUGAAAAUUUUAAUUAUGUAUGAUAAUUUUGUUAAAUCAUCAAAUUCUUUAGUGUUACCACUACUUACAUUGGGAUAUUUUACCACUUACUGAACAUAAAAAUAAACUUGUCUUCUAAACAUCUGCACUGAAACAAGACCAGAGGACAAUUUAAACUUAGUAACAAGCAGAACAAUUAUAUAAUGUCUUUAGGAAAAAUAUGAGCGUCAUAGCUGCUCCUAAUAUUUGCUAUUAAUUAUAGAGUUCAGCUUUGCUAACAGUUAUGAAUUCUAACUACUGACUGUAUUUAUAGCUAAGUGGAUUGAACCAAAAAUGUUUGACAUAGUUCAGUAUUAGUGUCAGAAUAUAUCUUGAUUCAGCAGCUAGUUGCCAACAUUCCCAUUAACUCAACCAGAAAUUAUCAAUACUGAUCAAGCAGACCUAUCAUCGACAGUGCUCCAGCCAUGACCAUCCCAUAGUUUUAAUGAUACCUAAGACUGCAUUACGUAUUCUGUCCUUUUUUUACUUAAGAUAGUAGGGAGUGAUUUGAGGGAGAUUUGGCUGUUAUUUCUUGGAACAGAAAUGACCUAGAAGCUCCUUCAUUGUUUUGUAGUCCAAAAGUGAUUACAUAAUAAACUAGAAAACUCAAAUGCAUGUGUUCAUUAAGCCUUUUAUUUUCUUAUCAAUAAUGCUUCUAAUGCUCUCUGCAUGACCUGAUAAAAUUAUUCCAAAUUAUCCAGUGCUUAUUGUCUGUUCUGUGUAGAUCUGUCCAAUCAGUUGAUGGCUUUGGUGACUUAGUGCCUCAUUAGAUCCUACCAACUUCUUUCAUUUGUAUCAUUAUUGGUUAGUCUUGUGGCUUAUUCCUAAUUAAUUUUUUUUCUUUUUACUUGGACUUAUAAAAUCAUUUCUCUUUUAUCAAAAAUUGGUCUUUUUUUCUUCUAGGUACUUUUUUGUCUUUUAUAUGUAUGUGACAGUGAUAUUUAACUUAAUAGGUGUCAUUUUAUAUUUUAUUAUUUAUUGUUUUACUUGAAACCUUUCUGACUAAUUGUUUGUCUUAAUAACUAAUUGUCCCACCACCAAUUAUAACUCUAAUGAUCAAAAGUAUGCUAUCAUUUUGGGCUGUCACAUAUCAUAUGAUCAAAUGUGAUUGGCUUCAUCUGCAUCUUGAGUCACCUCUAACAAGACUGACUAAUCAGUGUUACUAAUGUAUAAACCUACACAUCAGGAUGGGGAUGAAAACAGAAGAGUGUUCAAUUUGACAUUGCUGGCGGUAGGACUAAACCUAAAGCCAUGUUUGACAAACUUCUUAACCACACAAUCAUGCCUGCACCUAUAUAAUGUAACACAAAUACACACAUAUAUAAUUGGUUCUCAGUAUUUUGGAUGAAAUGUGAUGUAAUAUUUUGUUCCAGCUUCCUAGAAAUAUGGAAAUUGUAUAUAAUGCUCAGAUGGAUUACUCAUCAGAAAAGGUAGCCUAAAGUGCAUGUGCAGUACUUAGAAUAAUGCACACAAAGUGGACAAUGAAUGAGGCAUUUAAAAAAGAAAGGUGUAGGGGACAUUAGGUGUACUGUUGGUGAAUUUCAGGAAGUAUGGAAGUUUUGAAAGAUGAAGUGUCUUGACAGCUAACAACUGAUACAGGUAGUUUAUUCCAUGCUUCAGUAACUCUGAGUGUGUAAAAUGUUUCUGAAGGUUAGGAGUGCUGUGUUGUUUCGAUUUUGUAAGCAUAUCUAUAGGUGUUAGACAUGGAAUUCAAAAAGGUGCCCAAAGUUGUUGUUGGAAAGAUGGUGGAUAAUUUUGUGAGUGUUUACCAAGUUAGUUGCUAGACACUGGAGCCUUAAUGUGUCCAUGCCCAAGGAGGCAGGACAUUUAUAGUAUGGUAGAUACCUGACAGUGGGUAUUCAUCUAGUUGCAUGUUUCUGAACAGUUCCCAAGAGAUUGAGAUGGUGAUAAAGGUUCCAGAGUGGUGAAGCAAACUCUAAAUAUGGACACACCAUAGCCAUAUAUACUACUUUAAAUAGAUAGCUAGAGAGUAGCUGACAAAGGUAUUACUGAGUGAUGCUAAGACACCCACAGCUUUCUUAACAAUUUUAAAGAUGUGGUUUGUCCAAUACAAAUUGCUGUUGACAAUAAUACCCAGAUCACAUUCAUUAGCAGACUUCUUAAGAUUAAUGUUGUAGAGGGAGUAUUAAAAGUUGAGUUUUUCCUCCCAAAAUGAAUGGUGGUGCCUUGUCUACAGCCAGCUUGAGUUGCUAGUUAGUAAUCCAUUGCCGCACUGUGUCCAGGUCUGAUUGCAGGGAAGAUCUGUAGCAUAUAGGACCUGUUCUUUUAAUUUCAAGAUACAACUUGGUGUUAUGUGCAUAGAACAGAUUCCUGUGGUUGACUAGAUGUCAUCUCAUAAUGAAAGAGUGCUGUCCUAGAACAUGACUACCUCUUUUCAACCAAAAAUGAAGGGCUUCAACCAGUUAUAGAGAUCAUCUUUCACACCUAUUCCAGAGAGUUAGUUUUUCUAUAAGUCCUUUGUGUAGCACACAACUGAAGAUUUCAGCAAAGUUAAGAUAGAUAACAUCCACCCAUAAGCUACCAUCAGUGAUUCAGUUGAUGUCUUCAAGAAACUCAAUGUGUUGGCCACAGCAGCAGGAGGUUUGAUAUAAGUUCCAAAUUGUGAAAGUCUAAUAAGGCUGUGAGAGUUCCAGAGUGUUUCUCUGACACCAGACUCAUCAGUUUGGCAAUGCAGCUGAUUGGACAAUAGUUGACAGGUGAUGUGCAAUCACCCUUUUGACACUGGUGAUUUUCCACUGCUCUGGAGUGACACAGUUAUUAAGACAGAAUUAGAAAAAGAAUGAAAGCUGGUGUGAAAGAAAGAAGCCACCAUGUUUGUGAAGCAGUAAAGUAACAUGAUCAAGACCAGGAAAGGCAUAGUUGCCUUAUUCUUGAAGAGGUGUCUCAGCAUUGCAGGUAUAUAUUUCACAGAUGUUAUAGAAUUUGAUGUCAGAGGUUGUAAAGAUGGUACAUUUGAAUUUUCAACACUAAAAAUGCCAACAUAACAUUCAGCAAUAAGUCCUAUGCAUUCUUUGUAAUAUGAUCUGUGUGGGGAUUGCAAAUAGAGCCAACUAGAGAGUGAGGUGUCUGCUUUGCAUGUACAUAUUUCCAGAACACUUUGCUGUCAGUGUUGGUUACUAUGCAUUGUUCAAAUUCAAACACAUCCUUUUCAUGUCACCUGCUCUUUUGAAUUAGUGCAACUCACUCAAGUUUUCAUAUCCUAGAUGUUCCACUGGUGUAACCCCUUGCAGAUGGGAAGCAGUACUGACCACAUUGAAACACUGUGUGUGUGCGCAGUGUGAUGUCUCACUCUGUGCAGCACCAUGUUUUCAAAUAUACCACACUGA